This 492-nucleotide ribosomal RNA is filed under the name uncultured bacterium. RNAcentral describes it as "partial 16S ribosomal RNA". It matches the Rfam family "Bacterial small subunit ribosomal RNA", at positions 29 to 507 of the family's 1533-position model. The record is from RNAcentral.
AGUGAACGCUGGCGGUAGGCCUAACACAUGCAAGUCGAACGGCAGCACAGUAAGAGCUUGCUCUUACGGGUGGCGAGUGGCGGACGGGUGAGGAAUACAUCGGAAUCUACUUUUUCGUGGGGGAUAACGUAGGGAAACUUACGCUAAUACCGCAUACGACCUACGUGUGAAAGCAGGGGAUCUUCGGACCUUGCGCGAUUGAAUGAGCCGAUGUCGGAUUAGCUAGUUGGCGGGGUAAAGGCCCACCAAGGCGACGAUCCGUAGCUGGUCUGAGAGGAUGAUCAGCCACAAUGGAACUGAGACACGGUCCAGACUCCUACGGGAGGCAGCAGUGGGGAAUAUUGGACAAUGGGCGCAAGCCUGAUCCAGCCAUACCGCGUGGGUGAAGAAGGCCUUCGGGUUGUAAAGCCCUUUUGUUGGGAAAGAAAAGCAGCAGGUUAAUACCCCGCUGUUCUGACGGUACCCAAAGAAUAAGCACCGGCUAACUUCGUG